AUUGAACGCUGGCGGAAUGCUUUACACAUGCAAGUCGAACGGCAGCACGGACUUCGGUCUGGUGGCGAGUGGCGAACGGGUGAGUAAUGUAUCGGAACGUGCCCAGUCGUGGGGGAUAACGUAGUGAAAAUUACGCUAAUACCGCAUACGAUCUAUGGAUGAAAGCGGGGGAUCGCAAGACCUCGCGCGAUUGGAGCGGCCGAUAUCAGAUUAGGUAGUGGGUGGGGUAAAGGCCCACCAAGCCAACGAUCUGUAGCUGGUCUGAGAGGACGACCAGCCACACGGGAACUGAGACACGGUUCAGACUCCUACGGGAGGCAGCAGUGGGGAAUUUUGGACAAUGGGCGAAAGCCUGAUCCAGCCAUUCCGCGUGCAGGAUGAAGGCCCGCGGGUUGUAAACUGCUUUUUUACAGAACGAAAAGGUUUCUACUAAUACUAGGAGCUCAUGACGGUACUGUAAGAAUAAGCACCGGCUAACUACGUGCCAGCCGCCGCAGUAA
This 500-nucleotide ribosomal RNA is filed under the name uncultured bacterium. RNAcentral describes it as "partial 16S ribosomal RNA". It matches the Rfam family "Bacterial small subunit ribosomal RNA", at positions 30 to 523 of the family's 1533-position model. The record is from RNAcentral.